Molecule: long non-coding RNA, 634 nt
Filed under: Musa acuminata (dwarf banana)
Lineage: Eukaryota; Viridiplantae; Streptophyta; Magnoliopsida; Zingiberales; Musaceae
Description: long non-coding RNA (MACU_LNC009321)
Source: RNAcentral
GCUGGCUGCGUGACGUGACUACUACAUGCUCUUGGUGACGGUGAAGCCCCCGUCGACGAAGAGGUUGUGGCCGCUCACGUACCUCGACUCGUCGCUGGCCAAGUAAAGCACCGCCUCCGCUAUGUCUUCUGGCUUGGCCGUCACCCCCUUGAGAUUGGCGCCCGCAUCCAACAGCCUCUCCACCUCCUCGUCGGUCAUGCCCAACGCAGCACUUGUCAUCGGCGUCGCCAGCAGAUGCGGCGACACGCAGUUCGCCCGCACCCCGAACUUCCCCAGCUCCGCCGCGGCGCUCCGCAUCAACCCCACCACCGCGUACUUCGAGCAGGUGUAGAACGCCGGCGCCAUCCCCCCCAACGCCGACACCGAGCUCGCGGUCGUCACGAUGCACCCGCUGCGGGCCGGCGCCAUGACGCGCGCCGCGUGCUUCGUCCCCAGGUAGACUCCCAGCACGUUGACGGCCAUCAUCCGCUCGAAGAGGGAGGCGGAGUGCUCGCCGUUGAGGAACCCGUGAUCGCGUCCCAGGGCGACGCCUGCGUUGUUAAACAUGAUGUCGAGCUUACCGUGGAGGGAGACGGCGGUGUCGACAGCAUUCUUGACGUCGGCCUCACUGGUGACGUCGCAGUGGACGUAGGAG